AUGAAGAGUUUGAUCCUGGCUCAGAACGAACGCUGGCGGCAGGCCUAACACAUGCAAGUCGAGCGAGAAAGUGACUUCGGUCGCGAGUAAAGCGGCGAACGGGUGAGUACAACGUGGAUAAUCUACCCUAGGGUCUGGGACAACCCCGAGAAAUCGGGGCUAAUACCGGAUAAGACCACAGUAUCCAAGGAUACAGCGGUAAAAGAUUUAUCGCCUUUGGAUGAGUCCACGCCCCAUCAGGUAGUUGGUAAGGUAAAGGCUUACCAAGCCUAAGACGGGUAGCCGGCCUUAGCGGGUGAACGGCCACAUGGGGACUGAGACACGGCCCUGACUCCUACGGGAGGCAGCAGUGGGGAAUAUUGGGCAAUGGGCGAAAGCCUGACCCAGCGAUGCCGCGUGAGGGAUGAAGGCCUUCGGGUUGUAAACCUCUGUCAGGAGGGACGAUGGGACACUUGUGUCUUGACGGUACCUCCAGAGGAAGCCCCGGCUAACUCCGUGCCAGCAGCCGCGGUAAUACGGAGGGGGCAAGCGUUGCUCGGAAUUACUGGGCGUAAAGGGUCCGCAGGCUGUCAGGCAAGUUGGUUGUGAAAUCCCAAGGCUUAACCUUGGAAUUGCAUCCAAAACUGCCUGACUAGAGUCCAAGAGAGGUUGGCGGAAUUCCCGGUGUAGCGGUGAAAUGCAUAGAUAUCGGGAGGAACACCAGAGGCGAAGGCGGCCAACUGGCUUGGUACUGACGCUCAGGGACGAAAGCGUGGGUAGCAAACCGGAUUAGAUACCCGGGUAGUCCACGCCCUAAACGAUGGAUGCUAGGUAGGGGGAAUUUAAUUCUCCCUGCCGUAGUUAACGCAUUAAGCAUCCCGCCUGGGGAGUACGGUCGCAAGGCUGAAACUCAAAGGAAUUGACGGGGGC
Molecule: ribosomal RNA, 909 nt
Filed under: Candidatus Dadabacteria bacterium
Lineage: Bacteria; Pseudomonadati; Thermodesulfobacteriota; Candidatus Dadabacteria
Description: bacterial SSU rRNA
Rfam family: Bacterial small subunit ribosomal RNA
Source: RNAcentral